AGAGUUUGAUCCUGGCUCAGAUUGAACGCUGGCGGCACGCUUAACACAUGCAAGUCGGACGAGUGAGUAGAUUUGGGAUUUAUUCCAGAUUUACAAGCUAGUGGCGGACGGGUGAGUAAUGCGUAGGAACCUGCCCUGAAGAGGGGGAUAACCCGGGGAAACUCGGGCUAAAACCGCAUAAUCUCUAAGGAGCAAAGCUGCCUUACCAACUUAAUAUAUUUGGUUAAGAUAUAUUAAGUGGUAAGGUGGUACUUUAGGAGGGGCCUACGUUGGAUUAGCUUGUUGGUAGGGUAAAGGCCUACCAAGGCGAUGAUCUAUAGCUGGUCUGAGAGGAUGAUCAGCCACACUGGGACUGAGACACGGCCCAGACUCCUACGGGAGGCAGCAGUGGGGAAUAUUGGACAAUGGGGGCAACCCUGAUCCAGCGAUGCCGCGUGUGUGAAGAAGGCCUGCGGGUUGUAAAGCACUUUUAAUGGUGAGGAAGAGGGCGCUAUAAAUAGUAGCGCCUAAUGACGUUAGCCAUAGAAUAAGCACCGGCAAACUCUGUGCCAGCAGCCGCGGUAAUACAGAGGGUGCGAGCGUUAAUCGGAAUGACUGGGCGUAAAGGGCACGUAGGCGGUUUAUCAAGUUAGAUGUGAAAUACCAGGGCUUAACCUUGGGGCUGCAUCUAAGACUGAUAAACUAGAGUUCACUAGAGGGGAGUGGAAUUUCCGGUGUAGCGGUGAAAUGCGUAGAUAUCGGAAGGAACACCAGUGGCGAAGGCGACUCUCUGGAGUUGAACUGACGCUGAGGAGCGAAAGCGUGGGGAGCGAACAGGAUUAGAUACCCUGGUAGUCCACGCUGUAAACGAUGAGAACUAGCUGUUGGUACGCGACGACGUAUAAGUAGCGCAGUUAACGCGAUAAGUUCUCCGCCUGGGGAUUACGGCCGCAAGGCUAAAACUCAAAGGAAUUGACGGGGGCCCGCACAAGCGGUGGAGCAUGUGGUUUAAUUCGAUGCAACGCGAAGAACCUUACCUACUUUUGACAUCUAUGGGAUCCUGUAGAGAUAUUGGAGUGCCAGAAAUGGAGCCAUAAGACAGGUGCUGCAUGGCUGUCGUCAGCUCGUGUCGUGAGAUGUUGGGUUAAGUCCCGUAACGAGCGCAACCCCUAUCCUUAGUUGCCAGCGCGUAAUGGCGGGGACUCUAAGGAGACUGCUGGUGAUAAGCCGGAGGAAGGUGGGGACGACGUCAAGUCAUCAUGGCCUUUAUAAGUAGGGCUACACACGUGCUACAAUGGGCAGUACAGAGGGAGGCGAAGCCGUAAGGUGGAGCGGAACUCAGAAAGCUGUUCGUAGUCCGGAUUGGAGUCUGCAACUCGACUUCAUGAAGUUGGAAUCGCUAGUAAUCGCGAAUCAGAAUGUCGCGGUGAAUACGUUCCCGGGCCUUGUACACACCGCCCGUCACACCAUGGAGUGGGUUGUACCAGAAGUGGUUAGUCUAACCUUCGGGAAGGCGAUCACCACGGUAUGAUUCAUGACUGGGGUGAAGUCGUAACAAGGUA
RNAcentral lists this ribosomal RNA (1541 nucleotides) under metagenome. Its description in RNAcentral is "bacterial SSU rRNA". It matches the Rfam family "Bacterial small subunit ribosomal RNA". The record is from RNAcentral.